This 468-nucleotide ribosomal RNA is filed under the name uncultured bacterium. Its description in RNAcentral is "partial 16S ribosomal RNA". It matches the Rfam family "Bacterial small subunit ribosomal RNA", at positions 28 to 507 of the family's 1533-position model. The record is from RNAcentral.
GACGAACGCUGGCGGCGUGCUUAACACAUGCAAGUCGAACGGAAAGGCCCUGCUUUUGUGGGGUGCUCGAGUGGCGAACGGGUGAGUAACCCGUGAGCAACCUGCCCUUGACUUUGGGAUAACUUCAGGAAACUGGGGCUAAUACCGGAUAGGAGCGCCUGCUGCAUGGUGGGGGUUGGAACGUUUCGGCGGUUGGGGAUGGACUCGCGGCUUACCAGCUUGUUGGUGGGGUAGUGGCUUACCAAGGCUUUGACGGGUAGCCGGCCUGAGAGGGUGACCGGCCACAUUGGGACUGAGAUACGGCCCAGACUCCUACGGGAGGCAGCAGUGGGGAAUAUUGCACAAUGGGCGGAAGCCUGAUGCAGCAACGCCGCGUGCGGGAUGACGGCCUUCGGGUUGUAAACCGCUUUCGCCUGUGACGAAGCGUGAGUGACGGUAAUGGGUAAAGAAGCACCGGCUAACUACGUG